Molecule: long non-coding RNA, 3092 nt
Organism: Nothoprocta perdicaria
Lineage: Eukaryota; Metazoa; Chordata; Aves; Tinamiformes; Tinamidae
Exons: 3
Source: RefSeq, a predicted model, not a curated record
ACUUYUACUUGGGUUGCUGUUGUUGUUUGCUCUGACCAAGAUUGUCCUGCUGUUUCUGGCACUCCCUGAUGGCAACUCCAUGGUGGCAGUGCUGAAUUUCAAGGAACCCAGUGUGUAAGGUGCCCCUUUGCUGGCUCUGCAGGAGGAAUCAAGUUUCAUCAUUAUUCUACGCUAAAGGCUGAGUUUUUGAGCAUGCCAAUACAGCUGGAAUGACAUUGGCCUUCCUGCUUCAAGGACACAAAGGAUUAUCCUAAAACCUAGGACUCUGACCAACUCAGUGUUUCUGAGCAGCCCUUUGAUUGGUAAGAACCAAAUAUCUGACCAGUCUUCACUGCCACACUUAUUUACAGAGCCACUGAAGAGGAACACAAUAAUGUGGAGCAGUAAUUGGCAGUAAUUAACUCAGGAAUAACUGCUGACCUACUAGAUAUCACCAGGACAACUUCAGCACAAUCCCAGCACUUCAGUUGAUAAGGAGUCGUAGUCUCUCUUUGAGCUUUCAUUUCCUCUAGAGUUUUUUCUCCAACCGUGUGAAACACAAAGCACAUACAACAGCAUUUUGGAAACCAAAAUAUACUGUAUUCACUAUAGAAUAUGUGGAAUUUUAAUGGCUGGUAGAGUAGGAGUGAUGUAAGCAAGUAGCUCCUUGCAUGGAGGAAACAAAGAGCCUGGCUUUCAACAUUUUACUGUCUUAGUCUCUUUUUCUCCUUCUGCUCCUCAAGUCUUUGAUUGCUUGAGAAUGAGUGACCUUAUUAGUCUCUUCCUCACUGGAGAACUUCCUGUCCUUUGGCUUGCUGCCUGUUUUCAUGAAACCUGCAGAAUCUUUGGGAAAUUUGAUUGAAAUUCAGUGAUGGAUUCAGAAUGCAGAAUAUCACCUUGUACGUACAUGUAUAGUAUCAAGGAUCACAUAAAUGCGGUUUCAGUGGGAAAUCAAGCUAAAAUCCUGCCACACAGUGAGAUGUCUCUGCGAUCUCAUUCUUUGAAAUAAGACAGUGAAGGUAUAACAAAGGAAAUAAAUGUCUUCUCCCUAAAUGGAAAACAAACACAAAAUGUCAACUGAGACCAAAAUACAGCCUUUUCAUUCAUUAACUGAAUAGCAUGGGUAUGGAAGUCACGUGGUGACACUAAACAUGCCACCUCACAAUGCUCUYGAGUGUUCCUGCCGUGUAGUAAUAUAAAGUAAUAUAAAAUAAUGUAAAUUCUAACAUAACAAUUUAAAAUAAUUAUAAAAUAAUUUGGAUUACUCACUUUUGUGGUGGGUAUUAGAAUGGAGCAUGAGUGCUGKAAUUAUCUGCACCUCUGCCCAAGGCCAUGGUCCUUCAUACCCACAAAAGACCUGGGCUCAAUCUCAUCCUUAUUUUCUGACAGUCUUAUUUAGUUUAAUAAUGAAUUUGGGACAGGGCUUCAAUGAAAGAUGCUAUGUAAUAUCCUGCGAAGUUCUGAGUGACCCCAGUGAGGGUUUGAUGAUGUCUUUGAUGAAAGAGCCCAGCCUAUGUAAAAAUCUUUCUUGAUUAGUGAAGUCAGCUGCUGUUGGAAUGAUUGGGGUGGAUUUAUUUCUUCUUUUAAAUUCAAAUUACCUCCAAAUAAGUUUUCAAGGCACUUCCUACAGAUUAAAGGAUGGGAGGAAUGUGACUCAGAAUAUUUCAGUGGAAGGUUUUCCUCAGAAAUCUAAUCAUUUGGGAUUCUGGCUCUGUUGAAUGAGUUAGCUGAACAGGUAGAGAACUUUAGGCUGCAAUAUAUGACACAAAAUGUUUCUAAACACAGUCAAUAUUCCACAGAAACCAGUGCUCACUGAGGGCCUGCUGUGCCUGUUGUCAAGUAGCACUUGGGAUCUUGGAAGUAAGAUCUGUUCUUCCUGGUCCCUCAUCUGACAUUCUGCCUUCCUCUUGUAAAAGCCAGAAGGAGUUUUGCCACAGAUGUCCAGGGAGAAGGUGAGGCUCAGUAGUGCUUAGAAAACCUCCUAGUCKGACUGAUGUGGUUGACAGCCAGCAGCAACCUCGGUCUCCUGUGUCCAGAGCCUCGACAGGGUGGCCAGGGCUUUUCCAGAUGUGACACCUGAUCAUAGAAUCCUGGAAUUGUUAUGGUUGGAAAAGACCUUCAAGAUCAUGAAGCCCAACUGUAAACCUGUCACUGCCCUGCCUGCUAAACCCUGUCCCUGAGUGCCUCAUCUAUGGGUUUUUUGAACACUGCCGGGAAUGGGGACCCACCACUGCCCUCAGCAAGAUCCCAAUGUCUUAUCCAGUAUCUGAAAACAAGGAAGAUUCUUGGCAAGCAUCGGGAAAGUGUGGUGGCAGAGAAGCUGGGAAGAGAGGCAAAAGCAGAAGAGAGAGAAGGGCAGCYUGAUAUCUUCAAGAGAGAAGACCGGCAAUGCAAGAUCAGGGAGUUCUGCAAGACCUUAAAAGGGAUCAGCAGAUGUCUUGCUUCUUGAGGGACCUGCAUAUCCUAAAGCAUCACAAAUCUCAGACUCAUCGAAUUUACAUUUUUUGGAAAGUCAGAGCUAUAAAUACAUCAUUAGAUGAUGCCCUUUAGUCUCUUGGUUUAUUUUCUUUAAAGGAAAGGCUUAGCAAGAGGCACCCUUUUCACUAAUCUGGCGUGAAACUGAAAGAUUUGAGAAGAAGAGAGGGCUACAUUUAAAAAAAGUAAUAAACACAUCUGUAGGCUUGGGCUGCCCUGUAUAGUAGAAAUAUUGAGUACAUUUUUGAAUGUUCAAAAAGAGGGAACAUUUUUUCUGUCAUAAAAUUCUCUUGCAUCAGUUUAAGCACAUUUUAUGAACUGACUUGAGGGCUCUAUGUAAAUCUGCUCAGGAUUCUGAGAAAGGAGAGGGUUAUUAAUCUGGAAAAAGUGUCUUUGCUUAGAGCCAACUUCGGAAUCUAUUUAAAACAGGAAUUUUUAACAAGUGAAGAAUAUUCCCUGAGUUACCCUUAGAUUAGCUUCCUUUUAUGGGUACUGGGCAGAGCCAGUAGAAUUUUACUCCUGGUAAAAAGUUUUUACAUCCCUGAGCAGAUAUUAAACAUGAUCAGCAUAACAUCAAUGCAUUUGAUGAGAUUCAGCCCACAUAGUUCAUUCCUCYAAAGGCAAUAGAGGUUUUGCCA